CCUACGGGAGGCAGCAGUGAGGAAUAUUGGUCAAUGGGCGCGAGCCUGAACCAGCCAAGUCGCGUGAGGGAAGACGGUCCUAUGGAUUGUAAACCUCUUUUGUCGGGGAGCAAAAGACGCCACGCGUGGCGUUCCGAGAGUACCCGACGAACAAGCAUCGGCUAACUCCGUGCCAGCAGCCGCGGUAAUCCGGAGGAUGCGAGCGUUAUCCGGAUUUAUUGGGUUUAAAGGGUGCGCAGGCGGAAGAUCAAGUCAGCGGUAAAAUUGAGAGGCUCAACCUCUUCGAGCCGUUGAAACUGGUUGUCUUGAGUGAGCGAGAAGUAGGCGGAAUGCGUGGUGUAGCGGUGAAAUGCAUAGAUAUCACGCAGAACUCCGAUUGCGAAGGCAGCAUACCGGCGCGCAACUGACGCUCAUGCACGAAAGUGUGGGUAUCGAACAGGAUUAGAUACCCCAGUAGUC
RNAcentral lists this ribosomal RNA (459 nucleotides) under uncultured bacterium. RNAcentral describes it as "partial 16S ribosomal RNA". It matches the Rfam family "Bacterial small subunit ribosomal RNA", at positions 338 to 795 of the family's 1533-position model. The record is from RNAcentral.